RNAcentral lists this transfer RNA (72 nucleotides) under Marmota monax (woodchuck). RNAcentral's name for it is "tRNA.Ala". Lineage: Eukaryota; Metazoa; Chordata; Mammalia; Rodentia; Sciuridae. The record is from RNAcentral.
UGGGGUGGGGUUCAGUGGUAGAAUAAAUGUUUAGCUUGCAUCAAGCCCUGGGUUCAAUCCUCAGCACUGAAA